Molecule: non-coding RNA, 24 nt
Filed under: Cricetulus griseus (Chinese hamster)
Lineage: Eukaryota; Metazoa; Chordata; Mammalia; Rodentia; Cricetidae
Source: RNAcentral
AAUAGAAAUGAGGAUUAGACGAGG